Molecule: long non-coding RNA, 329 nt
Organism: Gymnogyps californianus (California condor)
Lineage: Eukaryota; Metazoa; Chordata; Aves; Accipitriformes; Cathartidae
Exons: 4
Source: RefSeq, a predicted model, not a curated record
CAUGGAAGGGGUCAGCCUGGAGAUGUUGGAGCUGUCUCAGGAGGCAUGGAAAAGUUUUAAAAGAAGUGAUGACACACUUUGAUUUCUUUCUUGGUGUACACAGUGUGUGCUGCCGUGCAGAGGAUUCCAGUUGCCAUAAUUUUCAGUAGAAAGAAUAAUUAUCACGGGGAACUUUUCUGCAGGAGACUUGCUACCACACUGUAUUGGCAGGAGUCUUGCAGAAAAAUACACAAGGGCUAUUGUACUUCCUACGACAGGAAGGUUCUUAGAAAAAGAAGCCCACAGGAGUCAGUGGCAUUGGGAGCAAGGCAGAACAAUGCAAAAUGAAU